This 292-nucleotide ribosomal RNA is filed under the name uncultured bacterium. Its description in RNAcentral is "partial 16S ribosomal RNA". It matches the Rfam family "Bacterial small subunit ribosomal RNA", at positions 505 to 796 of the family's 1533-position model. The record is from RNAcentral.
GUGUCAGCAGCCGCGGUAAUACGUAGGCAGCGAGCGUUGUUCGGAGUUACUGGGCGUAAAGGGUGUGUAGGCGGUCCCUUAAGUUUGGUGUGAAAUCUCCCGGCUCAACUGGGAGGGUGCGCCGGAUACUGAGGGGCUAGAGUGCGGGAAGGGAAAGUGGAAUUCCUGGUGUAGCGGUGAAAUGCGUAGAUAUCAGGAGGAACACCGGUGGUGCAAACGGCUUUCUGGACCGUAACUGACGCUGAGACACGAAAGCGUGGGGAGCAAACAGGAUUAGAAACCCGGGUAGUCC